RNAcentral lists this non-coding RNA (265 nucleotides) under Enterococcus villorum. Its description in RNAcentral is "T-box sequence". It matches the Rfam family "T-box leader". From Rfam's summary of the family: Uncharged tRNA acts as the effector for transcription antitermination of genes in the T-box leader family. T-boxes are found upstream of many aminoacyl-tRNA synthetase genes and some amino acid biosynthetic genes usually in Gram-positive bacteria. Lineage: Bacteria; Bacillati; Bacillota; Bacilli; Lactobacillales; Enterococcaceae. The record is from RNAcentral.
AAUAAAGCUUUGAAAAGAAGAGUACAUGUCACAGAUGUUUGCAGAGAGCCCUGUUUGCUGAAAAAGGGUAACGGAAAUGAGAUGGAAGAUGGUCUUAGAGCAGAGUAAGUGAGCCCAGGCAAACUUGCUACGGGAGUGCCCGUUACAGCACAACGGUAUGCGGGAAUGAUCAACAGAAUCUUCACUAAGUACUGGUAGAGGUUGUUAUUGUAAAAUAGCAGCGAAUCAAGGUGGUAACACGGAAGUAUAAGCUUUCGUCCUUUUG